AUUGUUUGCGGCAUUCGGAGGUACACGUUCAUAGGCGUAACAUCUCACCGGAACUCUCUGGCCUUUAUCGAGAUGAUCAUACCACAGCAUCUUAGUACGUGCAAUGGAGUGACCAGUCUCGGAAUAAAUUGCCAGUAGCUUCCGAAAAUGAAACAUUUCAUUGUGUAAAUGAUAUAUUAUGUUUGUGCUUCCGAAUCCCGUAGACAAAAAAAUUUGUAGUGACAAUUCUGUAACAAUCAAUGUUAACGCUAACUUUUGCGAUUUUUUAUUUUUUGCGACACUAUAACAUUACUUGUAAUCACUGAAGAGGGUCUGUGAAAUGAGACCGAAACGCGUAUGAUAUUUAAUAAAAUUUGUUCUCAUGG
Molecule: long non-coding RNA, 365 nt
Organism: Odontomachus brunneus
Lineage: Eukaryota; Metazoa; Arthropoda; Insecta; Hymenoptera; Formicidae
Exons: 2
Source: RefSeq, a predicted model, not a curated record